Molecule: ribosomal RNA, 253 nt
Filed under: uncultured bacterium
Lineage: Bacteria
Description: partial 16S ribosomal RNA
Rfam family: Bacterial small subunit ribosomal RNA
Source: RNAcentral
AACGUAGGUGGCAAGCGUUAUCCGGAUUUACUGGGCGUAAAGCAUGUGCAGACGGGUUGGUAAGUGGUGUAUGAAAGCGUCCGGCUUAACCGGGCAAGCGUAGGCCAGACUGCCAGUCUUGAGAGUGGGAGAGGGAUGUGGAAUUCCGGGUGUAGUGGUGAAAUGCGUAGAGAUCCGGAGGAACACCAGUGGCGAAGGCGACACGCUGGGCCGUACCUGACACUGAUGCGCGACAGCAUGGGGAGCAAACAGG